AAGGAGUCGUCUUUGUAUGCGAGUGUUCGGGUGUCAAACCCCUACGCGUAAUGAAAGCGAACGCAGGUGAGAGCUUCGGAGCAUCACCGAACGAUCCUGAUGUUCUCGGAUGGAUUUGAGUAAGAGCAUACGGGUCCGGACCCGAAAGAAGGUGAACUAUGCCUGUAUAGAGUGAAGCCAGAGGAAACUCUGGUGGAGGCUCGCAGCGGUUCUGACGUGCAAAUCGUUCGUCAAAUAUGGGCAUGGGGGCGAAAGACUAAUCGAACCUUCUAGUAGCUGGUUUCCUC
Molecule: unclassified non-coding RNA, 287 nt
Filed under: uncultured fungus
Lineage: Eukaryota; Fungi
Description: partial contains 5.8S rRNA, ITS2 and 28S rRNA
Rfam family: Eukaryotic large subunit ribosomal RNA
Source: RNAcentral